Molecule: ribosomal RNA, 254 nt
Filed under: uncultured bacterium
Lineage: Bacteria
Description: partial 16S ribosomal RNA
Rfam family: Bacterial small subunit ribosomal RNA
Source: RNAcentral
GACGUAGGGCGCGAGCGUUGUCCGGAUUUAUUGGGCGUAAAGAGCUCGUAGGCGGCUCGGUAAGUCAGGUGUGAAAACUCUAGGCUCAACCUAGAGACGCCACCUGAUACUGCCGUGGCUAGAGUCCGGUAGGGGAGCAUGGAAUUCCUGGCGUAGCGGUGAAAUGCGCAGAUAUCAGGAGGAACACCAGUGGCGAAGGCGGUGCUCUGGGCCGGAACUGACGCUGAGGAGCGAAAGCCAGGGGAGCAAACGGG